Molecule: ribosomal RNA, 429 nt
Filed under: Bacteroidota bacterium
Lineage: Bacteria; Pseudomonadati; Bacteroidota
Description: Bacteroidetes bacterium partial 16S ribosomal RNA
Rfam family: Bacterial small subunit ribosomal RNA
Source: RNAcentral
UAGGGAAUCUUCGGCAAUGGGGGGAACCCUGACCGAGCAACGCCGCGUGAGUGAAGAAGGUUUUCGGAUCGUAAAGCUCUGUUGUUAAGGAAGAACGAGUGUGAGAAUGGAAAGUUCAUACUGUGACGGUACUUAACCAGAAAGGGACGGCUAACUACGUGCCAGCAGCCGCGGUAAUACGUAGGUCCCGAGCGUUGUCCGGAUUUAUUGGGCGUAAAGCGAGCGCAGGCGGUUAGAUAAGUCUGAAGUUAAAGGCAGUGGCUCAACCAUUGUAGGCUUUGGAAACUGUUUAACUUGAGUGCAGAAGGGGAGAGUGGAAUUCCAUGUGUAGCGGUGAAAUGCGUAGAUAUAGGGAGGAACACCGGUGGCGAAAGCGGCUCUCUGGUCUGUAACUGACGCUGAGGCUCGAAAGCGUGGGGAGCGAACAGG